GUUUCCAUUACAUUCUAUUAUAAUUCAGUGCGUUGCAUUGUUAUGCAUUUUAUCUUCUUGGAUACUGCCCAAUAGUCCAUCGAUCUUAUGUAACUUGUACAAUUGACAUACUGAAACUCCCAUAGGAUAUGAAAUAAUAUAAUGUCGACCCAUACUCGAUAGGCAGCGCUGCGUUGUACAUUAUUCGAAUUAAUGUAAUAUAUGAAAGAAUGCUAAGUAAUAGAUGUAAAAUUUCAU
Paramuricea clavata is the source of this 237-nucleotide non-coding RNA. NCBI's taxonomy places the organism in Eukaryota, Metazoa, Cnidaria, Anthozoa, Malacalcyonacea, Plexauridae. The record is from the annotation of a GenBank genome assembly.